This 250-nucleotide ribosomal RNA is filed under the name uncultured bacterium. Its description in RNAcentral is "partial 16S ribosomal RNA". It matches the Rfam family "Bacterial small subunit ribosomal RNA", at positions 524 to 773 of the family's 1533-position model. The record is from RNAcentral.
UACGUAGGGGGCUAGCGUUAUUCGGAAUCACUGGGCUUAAAGGGUGCGUAGGCGGCCCGGAAAGUUGGGUGUGAAAUCCCUCGGCUCAACCGAGGAAUUGCGCCCAAAACUACCGGGCUCGAGGGAGACAGAGGUGAGCGGAACUUAGGGUGGAGCGGUGAAAUGCGUUGAUAUCCUAAGGAACACCGGUGGCGAAAGCGGCUCACUGGGUCUUUUCUGACGCUGAGGCACGAAAGCCAGGGGAGCGAAC